GAGGGGUGAGUUCAACCAACUCAGUGAGGGAAUAAUAAUUAAUAUACAUUUUAGAUAUUCUUGAUAUUUAUAGUUCGCAAGAUCAUUUAUCUUGAUAUACAUAUACAUAUACAUACUAAACUUAUCAUAUACAUAUCAUAUACAUACUAAACGUAUCAUCAUAACGUAGUGGACUAUAUGUCAGAGAUCAGAUGACACCCGAAGGUGACCAGAUGACACCCGAAGGUGACCAGACCAGAUGACACCCGAAGGUGACCACUGUGGGAUGAUCAGUCGCCACAGGCUGAUGCCUCUCUCACCAGCUAGGUAUACAUACAGAAUACUAUGUGCACACAGGCUAACUACUCUCCGUUAGCAUGGAGUUACUGACAAGUCCCAUAUCAAGGCAUAAUAGAUAUUCACAUAAUCAUCAAGAAACGUAUAUCAUAUCAAAUAGGAUUUACUUUGACAGAUUGCGAGUGCAAAUUCAAGAAUAAAUGAGUACUCGGAAAAUAAGCAACAUAUAUAAUUAUUCAAGGAAUUAACGAGUUGUACUCAUUGUAUAAUCAACAUACAUAUUUACUUAUCAUAUAUGCAUAUUAAAGAUUAUUCCACUCACCCGGAAAAUAUAGAACUAAAAGGAAUGUCAGACGAAAGACCCGAAAAUCCUAUUGAGGAUCGUUAGGAGAACCUACAACAAUACGAAAAUAUACUCAAAAGCAACUCAAACAAGAGAUCCCAAUGCAUAAAAGAAAACCAGGUUUAGUCUCCUAAGUUUAUGGACUAAAACGAUAAUUUUCCAAAACAGGGACCAAAACGUAAUUUUACCAAAAUUGGACCAAUCUGGAAAAUACAUAACUAUACUGAAUUUUCACCCAUAAACCAUCCUUAAUUCUGUCUAGAACGAACCAGGGACCGAACUGUAAUUUUCAUAAAGUUCAGGGACUAAAAUGUAAAUUCCCGAAAUUGAGGGACCAAACUGAAAAUAUUCCAAAUCAAUUAUCAAACUCAGAUUCAUCAUCCUUAACCUCAUAAUAACACUGUCCAGAAUCUCAAAAUACAAUUAGGGGUCAAAUUAUAAUUUUACCAAAGUUUAGGGACUAAAUUGUAAUUUCACAAAUUGAGGGACCAAAUUGAAUUUUCGUCAUCUUCAACCUCAAACCCAGAAUUUCACAGAUUACCUACUGUCAUCUUCUGAUUUCUAACACAAUUUCACCAUUCAAACAAAAUCAUAACUCAAAAUCAUCAUCUUUACCUCCAAUCUCUCACAAUCAACUAAUUAACCAAUUACCCACAACAAUCAACCCAUAACCUUCCAAUUAAUUCAUCAAUCAAACUCAAAACACAAUAUUCAAAACCCUAACAUUUAUCAAAACAGAACUUAAAGCUUAAAGAACACACAUUUAUACAUAAUCUUACCUUUAAACUUAUUUUCCUCUACUUCUCUCCCUUUUCCCUUCUCUUCCCCUCUUUUCUCUUCUUCUUCUUCCUCCUCCCUUCUCUCUCACGGUUUGCUCCUUCCAUUUUCAGAUCCCUCUUUCUUUCUUCUUCUUUCUUUUAUUUAUAUUUAUCAACUAUUGUUCAAUUACCACAAUACCCCUCAUUUAAUUAUACUUACUUCUAAGCCUCCAAGGGCUUGGUUGCCCUUUCCUACUAAUUUAUUUGCAAAACAUCACAAUCUCCCCACCUUAUAAAAGUUUCGUCCUCGAAACUUAAAAUUUAAGAACCAAAGUCUUACCAUCAUGAUCAAAUAAAUUAUUUAAAACUUAUCUCUAAAAUUGUAUUUCUUAAACUAUCAUUUAAAGUCCACUUAAAAAAAAAAUCAAUAUAUAGCACCAUGCUUUCGUUGCGCACUCUGAUAUAUCCACUGAAAAAAAUAUCUCAUGCAUAACUUUUCUUAAUUCAUAUCCCUCAAAAUCAAACAACACACCCUUCAAUUUCUCUUGAAUCAACUUUUCUCAAAUAACUUAUCUCAAAUCAUAUCUCUUCAAAAAUCAAAACGCAUCCUCAUAAUUUAUUUAUUUUUAAGCAUCAGGUAAAAGAAUUCAGCCUUAUAGUUGGGGAAUGUCAUGAAGUAACAGAGUCUAAUGAACAACAACAAUUAUGAGCUCAAACUUUCAAGAGGUAUCAAUCAUGGAGGAGAUUUCGCUUGCAAAAGCAAUAAGCGAUGAAGAUGAUAAGAUGUAUGUAGUUCUCUCAACCACCAUAACAACUAAAGAGUCAGAUGAAAUGAUAAAGACUAUAAAGGAGGAACAUAGUUGUUGUGACAAGAUUAAGGCAACAAUUAUGGUAAAGAUAACAAAAACCAGCUUGGAAGAAGCUUAGAUGGAUGAAAAGUUGUUAUAUGGUUUCAAUAUUACCUCAAAUGAUAGUGUUUCUCUUGAAAUUGAAGCAAAAACAUGUUUGAUAAGAAAAAAAAAAUCAAAGAUAACAUGGGACUUAAGAUACCCUACUUGAGAACUGAGGAUGCAUAGUAUAAGCAGUUUGGUGUGCUUCCGUCAUCACAUCUCUUUUCAAACCAUCCACCUCAGGCACACAUAACCUGGAACCAAAUCUCAACACACCAUCUUCAUGGAUAACAAAACCCGGAGCUCUCCCUAACUCCAACUCAUCUCUAAUCUUGCAAAGUCGCUCAUCCUUCAUUUGAGCUACUUUAAUUCGGUCUACCAAGUCUGACAUAGCCUGAAAGUGAGCCAACAAUGCUCCCGAUUCACAAAUCUCAAAACUGACCCUCUCAUCUAACAAUCAGUGUAACUCUUUAAUCAAAGGUCUCCUCACCUCCUGAAUAUGAGCCAAACUACCCAUAGAUUUUCUGCUUAAGGCAUCGGCAACAACAUUUGCCUUGCCCGGGUGAUAUUGAAUCGUGCAAUCAUAAUCACUUAACAAUUCCAUCCACCUUUUCUAUCUCAAAUUCAGAUCCUUAUGCUGGAAGAUAUAUUGAAGACUUUUAUGAUCUGAAAAUAUCUCACAUGUCUCCCCAUACAAGUAGUGUCUCUAAAUUUUAAGGGCAAACACUACUGCAACCAUCUCCAAAUCAUGUGUGGGGUAAUUUUGUUCGUGCUUCUUCAACUUUCUCGAGGCAUAAGCAAUCACAUUACCGUUCUGCAUCAAAACACAACCCAAACCAAUCCUGGAUGCAUCAUAGUACACGGUAAAACCACCAGACCCUGAAGAUACUGUUAAAAUAGGAGCUGUAAUUAACCUUUCCUUCAACUCCAGGAAACUCUUUUCACAUUCUUCUGACCAUUGAAACUUGACAUUUUUUUUUUUUUGUCAACUUAGUCAUUGGAGCAGCAAUUCAGGAAAAAUUCUCCACGAAUCUCCUGUAAUAUCAUGUUAAACCCAUAAAACUCCUAAUCUCAGAUAUUGUAACUGGUCUAGGCCACUGCUUAAUUGCCUCCACUUUUUGUGGAUCAACCUCUAUCCUAUUCUUGGACACUACAUGUCCCAGAAACCCAACAGUUUCUAACCAAAACUCACUCUUCAAGAAUUUUCCAUACAACUGAUGAUCUCUCAGAGUUUGAAGCACCAAUCUCAAAUGCUGCUCAUGCUCUUCUCUAGACCUCGAAUACACCAAAAUGUCAUCAAUGAACACAAUAACAAACUUAUCAAUAAACGGCCUAAAAACCCUGUUCAUCAUGUCCAUAAAAGCUGCAGGUGCAUUCGUUAACCCAAAAGACAACACUAGGAACUCGUAAUGCCCAUAACGAGUCCUAAAGGCAGUUUUAGGAACAUCCUCAUUCCUAAUCCUCAACUGGUGAUACCCCGAUCGCAAAUCAAUUUUUGAGAAACAUUGAGCUCUUUGUAAUUGAUCAAAAAGGUCAUCAAUGCGAGGGAGUGGGUAUUUAUUCUUAACAGUGACCUUGUUCAACUGCCUAUAGUCUAUACACAUCCUCAUUGAUCCAUCAUUGGGACCUCUAUGUUCACAUCAUGCACAUAAGCCAAAAACCCAUGCAUACCCUUCUGUACCAUCCUUCUCGUACCAUCCUUCUCGUGAUGGCCGGGAAAAUACUAGAUGGAGAUGAUACUUUAUCUUCAUGAAAAGCAAAUUUGUAUCCUCAUUAGGUUUGAAAGCUAUUAUCUUAUUCCAACAAUCAACUGAGACAUGGUGUCUUGACAACUAAUCCAUACCUAAUAUCACAUAAAAUGCUCACUAUUUCUAAAAGUACCAAAUCACCCAAUUUUAGAUAAGUAUAUUAAUCAACAUAUAGAUCAUAAUCAAAAGCCUAUAAUAACAACCUUCAUAAGUAAUUCUCCAAUAACAGUCUCAUCAUCCAUAACUAAUUAAUCAUAUUUCAACUUUCUCCUGCAUUUAAAAUCUAUAUUUCUGAAAUAAAAAUAUUGCGGAAAGAGAUGAGCGUCCACGACUCAAAAAGUAAUCAAAAUAAACACACCCAGAAAAAUAUUAUCAAACACAAAUUUUUCAUUGAAUAUUGUCAACGAUAUAUAUAUCAUAGAAAAAGAUUAUUAGACAUAUUUUUCAGAAUACUUACCAAAGAUAACACAUAUAGAUAUAAAUAUGAUGUAAAAUCAGAUUUAAAUACAAAAAUACUAUAAGUUGUUCAAUUACUUAAAAGCACAUACUUACAUUCAAUAUACACUCACUAACAUGAUUUGCACAUAUACAUACUUUUAGAGCACUACAAAUCAGAAAAUCAGCUCAUUUACAUAUAUUAUAUAUACUUCCAAAAAAAAUAUAUUUAUACCAAAUACUUAUGCUUAAGUAUUUUCAAGAAAUAUUAUUACUCAAAUACACGUUUUAUGCAAAUACUUUCAAAGAUAUACUUAUAUCAAAUAUUCACACACACAAGUAUAUGCAAAACACGUAUACCACAUAUAUUAUAUCCAAGAAUAUACUUAUAUCAAAUAUUGUCAGCCAUGUAUGAAAAACACAUAUUAUACAUAGUAUAUCCAUUGAUAUAUUUAUAUCAACCAUUCACAUAAUAUAUAUUUCCCCACAUGUAUAUCAACACGGCAAUAAAAAAAAAAGUUCAAAGAAGACAAUGAGGAAUCACAAUAAGACAAGAAGGAUCCUAAGCUCCACAUAUUACAAGUUUUUUUUUUUUUAAAAAAAAGGACCAAGUUUUAACAAAACCAAGCUACAGGGAUUUAACAAGAACCUGGCUCUGAUACCACCUUUGUAACGACCCGAAUCCCGGGUCCAUGACCGGCAACGCAGGAGCGGUGCCGGAAGGACACCCCGCCCGCGCUAAGCCUCAAAACGAACAUAUCAAAAGAAUAAUUUAUUCAAAAAUACGCAGCAUUUCAUAAUCUUCAGAAAUAUUAUAUCCUUCAAAACUGAUGAAACCAAAAGAUAGUUUAAAACUCUUCAUCAGUAAUUAAAACAAAAACAAUAAUCCAUAAUACUCAUUACAUUGUCAAAAAUCCAAACUUAAUUAAAACAAGGUAAUAGUGGAGCGCCUAAGACAUCGAAUCAAACAGCCUUGAAAGAUAAGCAAGGCAUACCGACCCAAAACUGAAGAAGCAGGAACACUCAACAAGGUUCACCUGCUAUCAGAAACUAAGAACCUGAAAUAAUAUUAAGAAUGAGGGGUGAGUUCAACCAACUCAGUGAGGGAAUAAUAAUUAAUAUACAUUUUAGAUAUUCUUGAUAUUUAUAGUUCGCAAGAUCAUUUAUCUUGAUAUACAUAUACAUAUACAUACUAAACUUAUCAUAUACAUAUCAUAUACAUACUAAACGUAUCAUCAUAACGUAGUGGACUAUAUGUCAGAGAUCAGAUGACACCCGAAGGUGACCAGAUGACACCCGAAGGUGACCAGACCAGAUGACACCCGAAGGUGACCACUGUGGGAUGAUCAGUCGCCACAGGCUGAUGCCUCUCUCACCAGCUAGGUAUACAUACAGAAUACUAUGUGCACACAGGCUAACUACUCUCCGUUAGCAUGGAGUUACUGACAAGUCCCAUAUCAAGGCAUAAUAGAUAUUCACAUAAUCAUCAAGAAACGUAUAUCAUAUCAAAUAGGAUUUACUUUGACAGAUUGCGAGUGCAAAUUCAAGAAUAAAUGAGUACUCGGAAAAUAAGCAACAUAUAUAAUUAUUCAAGGAAUUAACGAGUUGUACUCAUUGUAUAAUCAACAUACAUAUUUACUUAUCAUAUAUGCAUAUUAAAGAUUAUUCCACUCACCCGG
Molecule: long non-coding RNA, 6129 nt
Filed under: Populus trichocarpa (black cottonwood)
Lineage: Eukaryota; Viridiplantae; Streptophyta; Magnoliopsida; Malpighiales; Salicaceae
Description: long non-coding RNA (PTRI_LNC004127)
Source: RNAcentral